This 952-nucleotide ribosomal RNA is filed under the name uncultured bacterium. RNAcentral describes it as "bacterial SSU rRNA". It matches the Rfam family "Bacterial small subunit ribosomal RNA", at positions 76 to 1025 of the family's 1533-position model. The record is from RNAcentral.
GGGGCAACCCCUCGAGAGUGGCGAACGUGUGAGUAAUAUAUCGGAACGUGCCCAGUCGUGGGGGAUAACGUAGCGAAAGUUACGCUAAUACCGCAUACGAUCUACGGAUGAAAGCGGGGGAUCGCAAGACCUCGCGCGAUUGGAGCGGCCGAUAUCAGAUUAGGUAGUUGGUGGGGUAAAGGCUCACCAAGCCAACGAUCUGUAGCUGGUCUGAGAGGACGACCAGCCACACUGGAACUGAGACACGGUCCAGACUCCUACGGGAGGCAGCAGUGGGGAAUUUUGGACAAUGGACGCAAGUCUGAUCCAGCCAUUCCGCGUGCAGGAUAAAGGCCCUCGGGUUGUAAACUGCUUUUGUACGGAACGAAAAGGUUUCUAUUAAUACUAGGAGCUCAUGACGGUACCGUAAGAAUAAGCACCGGCUAACUACGUGCCAGCAGCCGCGGUAAUACGUAGGGUGCAAGCGUUAAUCGGAAUUACUGGGCGUAAAGCGUGCGCAGGCGGUUAUGUAAGACAGAGGUGAAAUCCCCGGGCUCAACCUGGGAACUGCCUUUGUGACUGCAUAGCUAGAGUACGGUAGAGGGGGAUGGAAUUCCACGUGUAGCAGUGAAAUGCGUAGAUAUGCGGAGGAACACCGAUGGCGAAGGCAAUCCCCUGGACCUGUACUGACGCUCAUGCACGAAAGCGUGGGGAGCAAACAGGAUUAGAUACCCUGGUAGUCCACGCCCUAAACGAUGUCAACUGGUUGUUGGGUCUUCACUGACUCAGUAACGAAGCUAACGCGUGAAGUUGACCGCCUGGGGANUACGGCCGCAAGGUUGAAACUCNANGGAAUUGACGGGGACCCGCACAAGCGGUGGAUGAUGUGGUUUAAUUUCGGUGCAACGCGAAAAACCUUACCCNACCUUUGACAUGUACGGAANCCUUUANANAUAGAGGCGUGCUCNAAANA